GCCUCAGUAGCUUAAUGGUAGAGCACCUGACUUGUAAUCAGGAGGUUGGGAGUUCAACUCUCUCCUGAGGCU
This 72-nucleotide transfer RNA is filed under the name archaeon. RNAcentral's name for it is "tRNA-Thr". It matches the Rfam family "tRNA". From Rfam's summary of the family: Transfer RNA (tRNA) molecules are approximately 80 nucleotides in length. Their secondary structure includes four short double-helical elements and three loops (D, anti-codon, and T loops). The record is from RNAcentral.